Molecule: microRNA, 20 nt
Filed under: Gallus gallus (chicken)
Lineage: Eukaryota; Metazoa; Chordata; Aves; Galliformes; Phasianidae
Description: microRNA Ros-gga
Source: RNAcentral
CCGUUCCCCGCCCCGGGUCC